AUUGAACGCUGGCGGCAGGCCUAACACAUGCAAGUCGAACGAUUGGCGGACGGGUGAGUAAUGUCUGGGAAACUGCCUGAUGGAGGGGGAUAACUACUGGAAACUGUAGCUAAUCCCGCAUUCCAUCCGAUGUGCCCGGAUGGGAUUAGCUUGUUGGUGGGGUAACGGCGCACCACGGCGACGAUCCCUAGCUGGUCUGAGAGGAUUACCAGCCACAGGGGAACGGAGACAAGGUCCAGACUCCUACGGGAGGCAGCAGUUGGGAAUAUUGCACAAUGGGCGAAAGCCUGAUGCAGCCAUGGGGCGGGUAUGAAGAAGGCCUUCGGGUGGUAAAGUACUUUCAGCGGGGAGGCGUUACCCGCAGAAGAAGCACCGGCUAACUCCGUGCCAGCAGCCGCGGUAAUAC
This 406-nucleotide ribosomal RNA is filed under the name uncultured bacterium. RNAcentral's name for it is "partial 16S ribosomal RNA". It matches the Rfam family "Bacterial small subunit ribosomal RNA", at positions 30 to 526 of the family's 1533-position model. The record is from RNAcentral.